This 465-nucleotide ribosomal RNA is filed under the name uncultured bacterium. RNAcentral's name for it is "partial 16S ribosomal RNA". It matches the Rfam family "Bacterial small subunit ribosomal RNA", at positions 28 to 507 of the family's 1533-position model. The record is from RNAcentral.
GACGAACGCUGGCGGCGUGCUUAACACAUGCAAGUCGAACGGAAAGGCCCUGCUUGCAGGGUAAUCGAGUGGCGAACGGGUGAGUAACACGUGGGUGAUCUGCCCUGCACUUCGGGAUAAGUUUGGGAAACUGGGUCUAAUACCGGAUAGGAAACAUCUCUAGUGUAGUGGUUGGAAAGUUUUUUCGGUGUAGGAUGAGCUCGCGGCCUAUCAGCUUGUUGGUGUGGUAAUGGCCUACCAAGGCGGCGACGGGUAGCCGGCCUGAGAGGGUGUACGGCCACAUUGGGACUGAGAUACGGCCCAGACUCCUACGGGAGGCAGCAGUGGGGAAUAUUGCACAAUGGGCGUAAGCCUGAUGCAGCGACGCCGCGUGGGGGAUAAAGGCCUUCGGGUUGUAAACUCCUUUCGCUAGGGACGAAGCUUUUUGUGACGGUACCUAGAUAAGAAGCACCGGCUAACUACGUG